GAUGAACGCUGACAGAAUGCUACACAUGCAAGUCUACUUGAAUUUGGGUUUUUUAACUUCGAUUUGGGUGGCGGACGGGUGAGUAACGCGUAAAGAACUUGCCUCACAGCUAGGGACAACAUUUGGAAACGAAUGCUAAUACCCGAUAUUAUGAUUAUAGGGCAUCCUAGAAUUAUGAAAGCUAUAUGCGCUGUGAGAGAGCUUUGCGUCCCAUUAGCUAGUUGGAGAGGUAACGGCUCACCAAGGCGAUGAUGGGUAGCCGGCCUGAGAGGGUGAACGGCCACAAGGGGACUGAGACACGGCCCUUACUCCUACGGGAGGCAGCAGUGGGGAAUAUUGGACAAUGGACCGAGAGUCUGAUCCAGCAAUUCUGUGUGCACGAUGACGUUUUUCGGAAUGUAAAGUGCUUUCAGUUGGGAAGAAAAAAAUGACGGUACCAACAGAAGAAGUGACGGCUAAAUACGUGCCAGCAGCCGCGGUAAUACGUAUGUCACGAGCGUUAUCCGGAUUUAUUGGGCGUAAAGCGCGUCUAGGUGGUUAUGUAAGUCUGAUGUGAAAAUGCAGGGCUCAACUCUGUAUUGCGUUGGAAACUGUGUAACUAGAGUACUGGAGAGGUAAGCGGAACUACAAGUGUAGAGGUGAAAUUCGUAGAUAUUUGUAGGAAUGCCGAUGGGGAAGCCAGCUUACUGGACAGAUACUGACGCUGAAGCGCGAAAGCGUGGGUAGCAAACAGGAUUAGAUACCCUGGUAGUCCACGCCGUAAACGAUGAUUACUAGGUGUUGGGGGUCGAACCUCAGCGCCCA
RNAcentral lists this ribosomal RNA (804 nucleotides) under uncultured Fusobacteriota bacterium. RNAcentral describes it as "bacterial SSU rRNA". It matches the Rfam family "Bacterial small subunit ribosomal RNA", at positions 28 to 849 of the family's 1533-position model. Lineage: Bacteria; Fusobacteriati; Fusobacteriota. The record is from RNAcentral.